This 225-nucleotide long non-coding RNA is filed under the name Elaeis guineensis (African oil palm). RNAcentral's name for it is "long non-coding RNA (EGUI_LNC059365)". Lineage: Eukaryota; Viridiplantae; Streptophyta; Magnoliopsida; Arecales; Arecaceae. The record is from RNAcentral.
CUUCUAUCCACAACUGGAAGGAGAGGUUCUUCUACAUCCGAUGCCCGACCUUGGAGCUGGGAUUACCCCCCUGGGGCUCUUUGAGGGAUUUCGUUCGUCGGGCUUCGACCCUGGAAAGGGACGACCUCGAGGGCUCCAGUAAGCUCGAGGCCUAUCCAGCCCCCUUCCUCUCUGAACUUCUGAAGGAACAACUCUUGUUCAACAUCGGCCUGAGCCCUCUUGACC